GACGAACGCUGGUGGCGUGCUUAACACAUGCAAGUCGAACGGGAUUUCGUAAACAGAAGCCUCGGUGGAAGAUUACUAAUGAGAGUGGCGAACGGGUGAGUAACGCGUGAGCAACCUGCCUAUGACAGUGGGAUAGCCUCGGGAAACCGGGAUUAAUACCGCAUAACAUCGUAGAAACACAUGUUUUAACGGUCAAAGAUUUAUCGGUCAUAGAUGGGCUCGCGUCUGAUUAGCUAGUUGGUGAGAUAACAGCCCACCAAGGCGACGAUCAGUAGCCGGUCUGAGAGGAUGAACGGCCACAUUGGAACUGAGACACGGUCCAAACUCCUACGGGAGGCAGCAGUGGGGAAUAUUGCACAAUGGGGGAAACCCUGAUGCAGCGACGCCGCGUGAACGAAGAAGGUAUUCGUAUCGUAAAGUUCUGUCCUAUGGGAAGAUAAUGACAGUACCAUAGAAGAAAGCUCCGGCUAAAUACGUG
RNAcentral lists this ribosomal RNA (478 nucleotides) under uncultured bacterium. RNAcentral's name for it is "partial 16S ribosomal RNA". It matches the Rfam family "Bacterial small subunit ribosomal RNA", at positions 28 to 507 of the family's 1533-position model. The record is from RNAcentral.